Molecule: unclassified non-coding RNA, 536 nt
Filed under: Hevea brasiliensis (rubber tree)
Lineage: Eukaryota; Viridiplantae; Streptophyta; Magnoliopsida; Malpighiales; Euphorbiaceae
Source: RNAcentral
AAGGAAUACCCUUCUAUCCCUACUCAGCCUAUGGGUUUCUCUUCUCACAAGUGGGUUGGGUUGUAAAUACACUGCAUGUUGAGAGGGAGUAUUUAGGGUUGCUUAGGUUUCUACUCUGUUUUCUUAUUUGUGUUUUGUAAGGUUAUUUAUUGCUAUUUCUGAGAGACUAUGUGAAUCGGCUUGAAGUCUGUCUUUGAAUGGCUAAGGAUAAGUUUUGGUGAUGGUAGCUCAUAAGGUCACACGAUGGAAUGGUCGAUUUGGAAGGUGCAAGCGGGACACCAAAGAGGCCCACCUCUGUUGCUCUUUGCAACUUCCGGUGCUAAUGAGAUGUUCUGGCCUUGCCUAUACCUGGGGUUGCACUUUUUUCUCCAUGAAUGUUUUGCCUUUGGGGGUUCUACUACCUAUCCAAUGAAAAUAAGAGUUUGCCUACUCAGUUGCUGUGAGCGUAGUUGUGUAGUCGUUUCUUGCCCAGUUUCUAUCGCAUUAGAGUGCUAGUGUUAGAAAUGGAAGGCAUCUUACGCUCUGUUUGGGUGGGG